This 426-nucleotide ribosomal RNA is filed under the name uncultured bacterium. Its description in RNAcentral is "partial 16S ribosomal RNA". It matches the Rfam family "Bacterial small subunit ribosomal RNA", at positions 354 to 796 of the family's 1533-position model. The record is from RNAcentral.
GUGAGGAAUUUUCCGCAAUGGGCGAAAGCCUGACGGAGCAAUGCCGCGUGAAGGAUGAAGGCCUAUGGGUUGUAAACUUCUUUUCUCAGAAAAGAAUUAUGACGGUAUCUGAGGAAUAAGCAUCGGCUAACUCUGUGCCAGCAGCCGCGGUAAGACAGAGGAUGCAAGCGUUAUCCGGAAUGAUUGGGCGUAAAGCGUCUGUAGGUUGUUUAAAAAGUAUUCUGUCAAAGAUUAGGGCUUAACCCUAGAUAGGCAGAAUAAACUUUUAAGCUAGAGUUUGGUAGAGGCAGAGGGAAUUCCCGGUGAAGCGGUGAAAUGCGUAGAUAUCGGGAGGAACACCAAAGGCGAAGGCACUCUGCUGGGCCAAUACUAACACUGAGAGACGAAAGCGAGGGGAGCAAAUGGGAUUAGAAACCCUUGUAGUCC